This 76-nucleotide transfer RNA is filed under the name Caudoviricetes sp. Its description in RNAcentral is "tRNA-OTHER". It matches the Rfam family "tRNA". Rfam says of the family: Transfer RNA (tRNA) molecules are approximately 80 nucleotides in length. Lineage: Duplodnaviria; Heunggongvirae; Uroviricota; Caudoviricetes. The record is from RNAcentral.
GGGAACAUAGAUUAGUGGCAAAUCUUCUAACCCCUGACGGGAGGGGUUAUCGCGAGUUCGAUCCUCGCUGUUCCCA